This 68-nucleotide transfer RNA is filed under the name Marmota monax (woodchuck). RNAcentral's name for it is "tRNA.His". The stretch from base 5 to 65 matches the Rfam family "tRNA", at positions 6 to 65 of the family's 71-position model. Rfam says of the family: Transfer RNA (tRNA) molecules are approximately 80 nucleotides in length. Their secondary structure includes four short double-helical elements and three loops (D, anti-codon, and T loops). Further hydrogen bonds mediate the characteristic L-shaped molecular structure. tRNAs have two regions of fundamental functional importance: the anti-codon, which is responsible for specific mRNA codon recognition, and the 3' end, to which the tRNAs corresponding amino acid is attached (by aminoacyl-tRNA synthetases). tRNAs cope with the degeneracy of the genetic code in two manners: having more than one tRNA (with a specific anti-codon) for a particular amino acid; and 'wobble' base-pairing, i.e. permitting non-standard base-pairing at the 3rd anti-codon position. Lineage: Eukaryota; Metazoa; Chordata; Mammalia; Rodentia; Sciuridae. The record is from RNAcentral.
GGAUUGUGGCUCAGUGCUAGAGCACUUGCCUAUGAUGCAUGGGGCACUGGGUUCGAUCCUCAGCACCA